CUCGCCGCCAUUUUGCUGGCUGGCUGGAUUUAAAAUAGGAACCAGCCUCCAAGCGGCCGCCAGCUACAGCCGGAGCCAGCCCGUCUCGAAGCGCGUGGUCAGCUGGGACUUGUAGUUUCCAGGAAUCCCCGCCGUGGGCUCUCGGAGGACAUGUCGUCUCUAUUACUCCAACGCUUUGCAUGGCCACGUGCCACUUUUCUGCCCUCUCGACCUUCCCCUCCCGAAAAGCCUCGUGGGAUUUGUAGUCUUAACAGUGUUGUGCCGUGGCAUGCCUUCUCUCCCCUUUCUGCACGGGAGUACGUUGGUUGAAGAUCCCCACUUGUCUUGGACAAACCUCCAAACAACAAAACACAAAAUAUUACUAGAUAGAAUGCAGGAGGCUUUGUCUGAAACGUGAGAAGAUCCUGUCUGGAAGCUGGGGUAGGGGAGAUGGAGAUCCCAGCUUGUUGAGCCUGUAAGAGAGGGAGAUCAGAAAGAAGACCCACCAGCAACUCUGAGAUUGGCACUGAAAUUUCCCCUGGCAGAAUCCAGCAGCUAUAAAGGGGUAAUAAUUAUGACAAAACCUGUCAACUGAGCUCAGCAACCUCAACAGCAAUCAAAGAAACAGAGUAAGCUGCUUUAUACUGAAGAAGACUGUUGGUCCCUCAGUAUUGUCUACUACAUCAGUGGUUUUCAAAGUACAAGUCAAAACCCAGGACUAGGUGGCGGGAUAUCAAGCACAGGUUCCUUGCAAAUUUAAAAAUCGAAUGAUCUCUUAAAAUAUCGUCCACAGCAUUUUUUAAGCUUAUACUUUUUGUGCACAACAUGGCCGUUUUGAAUGUAGCCAAUCAGCUAAUAAGGAUGCUUUCCUGCUCACUGCUGUGGAGACAUGAGCUGUGAUGUGCAACCAAUAACACUUUUAGGUCGUAGGGAUAAGUGAUUGCCUUAAAUGACAUUGCAAGAAAAUAAGUUUGAAAGCCACCAACCUACACUGACAGCAUUCCAAAGAAAGAGUCCUACAUGUAGAUGUCAAGGACUGGAUAAAGAACCUUGACCUUCAGCCCACACAAAGCAUGUGCUCUGCCUCCAAGAUAUGGCUCCAUCCCCUAACCAUCAAGGCUGUGAACCAGUUGUGUAUAUAAAAGGAAAUUUUAAAUUAUUUAUUAAAACAAAUUUACAAAAGAUA
Molecule: long non-coding RNA, 1165 nt
Organism: Hemicordylus capensis (graceful crag lizard)
Lineage: Eukaryota; Metazoa; Chordata; Lepidosauria; Squamata; Cordylidae
Exons: 2
Source: RefSeq, a predicted model, not a curated record